RNAcentral lists this ribosomal RNA (245 nucleotides) under uncultured Lachnospiraceae bacterium. Its description in RNAcentral is "partial 16S ribosomal RNA". It matches the Rfam family "Bacterial small subunit ribosomal RNA", at positions 524 to 768 of the family's 1533-position model. Lineage: Bacteria; Bacillati; Bacillota; Clostridia; Lachnospirales; Lachnospiraceae. The record is from RNAcentral.
UACGUAGGGGGCGAGCGUUAUCCGGAUUUACUGGGUGUAAAGGGAGCGCAGACGGAUGAUCAAGUCAGAUGUGGAAGCCCCGGGCAUAACUCGGGGAGUGCAUUUGAAACUGGUGAUCUGGAGUGCUGGAGAGGUAAGCGGAAUUCCUGGUGUAGCGGUGAAAUGCGUAGAUAUCAGGAAGAACACCGGUGGCGAAGGCGGCUUACUGGACAGUAACUGACGUUGAGGCUCGAAAGCGUGGGGAG